CAUUACGAGUCUUAGCUCAAAACCCAAAGGACUUGACGGUGUCCCACCCACCUAGAGGAGCCUGUUCUAUAAUCGAUACCCCCCGCUAUACCUCACCACUUUUAGCCUAUCAGCCUGUAUACCUCCGUCGUAAGUUUACCGUGUGAACGCUUGUAGUAAGCUAAAUGACUUUCCGUCAGUACGUCAGGUCAAGGUGCAGCCCAUAAAGUGGCAAGCAAUGGGCUACAAUUUCUAAUUUAGAACAAACGGAUAAACUGUAUGAAACCAGUUUAGAAGGCGGAUUUAGUAGUAAAAAGGAAGUAGUGCUUUUUAAUUCGGCACUGGGACGUGU
Molecule: ribosomal RNA, 331 nt
Filed under: Petropedetes cameronensis (Cameroon water frog)
Lineage: Eukaryota; Metazoa; Chordata; Amphibia; Anura; Petropedetidae
Description: partial 12S ribosomal RNA
Rfam family: Bacterial small subunit ribosomal RNA
Source: RNAcentral